UCUCUCUCCCGUCCCGUUAAUUCAUAGCUCUGCCUCACUGCCUCCGUCGUUCUCCUCUCUCACGUUAACCCCCUCUCUUUAAAAGGAGUGUCUCACGCGCAGUCCUCCAUCUCGCACGCGCCACCAACCACCCAAUGGCCUCCCCACCGACGCUCCCUAUGUCGAACCCCUCGCAAUCAUCCCCGUCCCCAAUUGCCACACCCGCCUUUCGCGCCUUCCUCUCACGGCUCUCGUCCUCCAUCCGCCACGGGUUAUCCCACCGCCGCCCGUGGUCCGAGCUUGUCGACCGGAGCUCCAUGGCUCGACCCGAUUCACUCACCGAGGCAUACUCUCGGAUCCGCAAGAACCUUUCCUAUUUCCGCGUCAACUACUUAACCCUCCUCGCCCUUGUCCUCGCCCUUUCCCUGCUUUCCCACCCUUUCUCCCUCGCCGUUCUCCUCUCCCUCUUCGCGGCCUGGGCUUUCCUCUACGUCUUCCGGCAAUCCGAUCAGCCUUUGAUCGUUCUCGGCCGGACCUUCUCCGGCCGGGAAACCCUUCUCGGCCUGUCCCUUUUGACAGUCAUCGUGGUCUUCCUCACCAGCGUCGGAUCGCUUCUCAUCUCGGCUUUGAUGAUCGGCUUCGCCAUCAUUUGCGCACACGGUGCGUUUAGGGUUCCCGAUGAUCUCUUCCUCGAUGACCAGGAGCCUGCCAAUACCGGGCUCCUCUCCUUCCUCGGCGGCGCCUCUGCGUCCGCUCCAGCAGUUGCCUCCCGCGUAUGAACCAGAUCUUGACCUCGCUAGCCACGUCACAAGAAAUCUGUGCUCGAUGGAAACCAGACUACCUGCUCUCCCCAGAUGAUACUCUGCUAGUGCUAGAAUCACGCUUAUCUUGCUUGGCGCUGCAUAAGCCUUUUUUUUAUGGUGCUUUUCUGGAACUCGAGUUUAUGUAUGAUCUUUUUGCAAUUCAAGAUUGCCGCUGGGUUUUGCAAAUUUGAUGCCAAGGAUCCGGCUGCAAGAAUUUUGUCCAGGCUCUUCGUUACUGUAAGCAACAUGAUGCUCAGGCUAAUAUUGAUAUGGAUCGUACUUGUUUUUGCAAUCGAAGCUGUGAUGAGCCCUUUCCCGCUUCUCUUCUUUUGCUUUUGAGCUCGUACGGAUGAGUUGACUGCGCAGCUUUUACAUACAAGUUACAACAAAAUUGAGAACCCUAAGCUUGAUUUUUUUGGCCUUUAAGCUGUUCUGCUAUUAUUAUUCUCUCUUGCUUUUGUGUUUAUAUGAAGCAACAAAAGAGUGGUAUUGGUGGUCC
Molecule: RNA transcript, 1281 nt
Organism: Juglans microcarpa x Juglans regia
Lineage: Eukaryota; Viridiplantae; Streptophyta; Magnoliopsida; Fagales; Juglandaceae
Gene name: PRA1 family protein B3-like
Exons: 4
Source: RefSeq, a predicted model, not a curated record